Molecule: ribosomal RNA, 468 nt
Filed under: uncultured bacterium
Lineage: Bacteria
Description: partial 16S ribosomal RNA
Rfam family: Bacterial small subunit ribosomal RNA
Source: RNAcentral
GACGAACGCUGGCGGCGUGCUUAACACAUGCAAGUCGAACGGAAAGGCCCUGCUUUUGUGGGGUGCUCGAGUGGCGAACGGGUGAGUAACACGUGAGUAACCUGCCCUUGACUUUGGGAUAACUUCAGGAAACUGGGGCUAAUACCGGAUAGGAGCUCCUGCUGCAUGGUGGGGGUUGGAAAGUUUCGGCGGUGGGGGAUGGACUCGCGGGUUAUCAGCUUGUUGGUUGGGUAGUGGCUUACCAGGGCUUAGACGGGUAGCCGGCCUGGGAGGGUGGCCGGCGACAAUGCGCCUGAGGUAGGGACCAGAGGCGUACGGGAGGCAGCAGGGGGAAAUAUUGCACAGUGGGGGGAAGCGUGAGGCAGAAGUGUUGCGAGCGGGAAGACGGCCUUGGGGUGGUAAACCGCUUCUGCCUGAGACGAAGCGGGAGUGACGGUAAUGGGAGAAGAAGCACCGGCUAACUACGUG